This 120-nucleotide non-coding RNA is filed under the name Palpitomonas bilix. The record is from RNAcentral.
UGGGAUUCAUCCUCACUAUUCUGUUCAUUGUGUGGCAUGGCGGCGGGCCGAACCGAAUCAGAGCUUGUUGCUGCUGUCAUGAUCGAAAAGCCAAGAGGGGGUAGUGAGCCGCAUAUUUAA